UGGGGGAUAUUGCACAAUGGGCGAAAGCCUGAUGCAGCGACGCCGCGUGGGGGAUGAAGGCCUUCGGGUUGUAAACUGCUUUUGCUCUGAACAAGGCGCACCAUGGGGUGUGUUGAGUGUAGGGGUUGAUUAGCGCCGGCUAACUACGUGCCAGCAGCCGCGGUAAUACGUAGGGCGCGAGCGUUGUCCGGAAUUAUUGGGCGUAAAGGGCUUGUAGGUGGCUGGUUGCGUCUGUCGUGAAAGCUCAUGGCUUAACUGGGGGUUUGCGGUGGGUACUGGCUGGCUUGAGUGCAGUAGGGGAGGCUGGAAUUCCGGGUGUAGCGGUGGAAUGCGCAGAUAUCAGGAGGAAUACCGGUGGCGAAGGCGGGUCUCUGGACUGUUACUGACACUGAGGAACGAAAGCAUGGGGAGCGAACAGG
This 419-nucleotide ribosomal RNA is filed under the name bacterium. RNAcentral describes it as "partial 16S ribosomal RNA". It matches the Rfam family "Bacterial small subunit ribosomal RNA", at positions 355 to 776 of the family's 1533-position model. The record is from RNAcentral.